This is an unclassified non-coding RNA of Erinaceus europaeus (western European hedgehog), 297 nucleotides long. Its record names the gene 7SK. It matches the Rfam family "7SK RNA". From Rfam's summary of the family: 7SK was discovered as an abundant small nuclear RNA in the mid-70s but a possible function has only recently been suggested. Two independent studies have found that 7SK RNA binds the CDK9/cyclin T complex (known as elongation factor P-TEFb). The record is from Ensembl. Lineage: Eukaryota; Metazoa; Chordata; Mammalia; Eulipotyphla; Erinaceidae.
GGAUGUGAGGGCAAUCUGGCUGUAACAUCUGUCACCCCAUUGAUUGCCAGGUCACUGGUGUCCCCUUCCUCCCUCACAGCUCCACGUGCAUAUUUCCUGAAGAUGCACGCUCAGUCAAAGAAGAUGGCCUUCCCCGAAUAGAGACAGACAGGUCUUUGGUCUAGGGUAUAUGAGUAGCUGCGCUUCUCUGCUAGAACCUCCAAAGAAGCUCUCAAAGUCCAACUGCUGGACCUCACCUGCAGGAGCAAAGCUUUAGAUUUCUUUUUUCCUCUUUUGUAUCUAGCCCUGCUUCUCUAA